UAUCAUUAAAAGAUCAAAAGAGAAGUUUAAAAUUAAAUUAUUUUUUCAGAAGAUAAGUAAAUUAAAAUUAAAUUAAAUUGCUUUUAAAUGUGAAAAAGUCAUUCUUUUUGCAGAUAUACCAGAAAGGGAAGUGUUACAUAAAAUGGGACAGACGAAGUAAGAAGUAGCAAUGAACAUAACAAAAAGUAAUAGAAGGUUCUAGAAAUGGGAAGAAGAAAGAGGGAAAAAAAUAGCUAAAAGCUUACACAGUCUCUUGGAGAACGCCUUGGUAAAUAUAAGCAGACCAAAUGCCGGCGACACAAAAGGCAAGGACCAUAACAUGGCGGAGGCCGGCCCCGCGAAACUCCAUUGGGCUUAAUGUCGUCGGCACCACCUUGAUCCCGACUGCCACGUGUGUUUCCCCGGCAACUCUCCGGCGGAGGCCGGCCCCGUGAGACUCCAUUGAGCUUAAUGUCGUCGGCACCUCCUUGAUCCCGCCUGACACGUGUGUUUCCCGGCAACUCUCCGAUGAUUACACACCGGUGAUAGGGAAGCGACGGGAUACGUCGGGGAUUUACCGUUGGUUUUUUCUUUAACUGCCACUGCACCGAAUCGCGAUGGUUGGGAAAUUUGUAUUAUUACAGAAAGUGGGAUCUGAACUACGUAUAUUUUCCACGUGGCGUGUGUUUAUUGGGUUAAAUAAGUGUUAG
This 689-nucleotide long non-coding RNA is filed under the name Nicotiana benthamiana. RNAcentral's name for it is "long non-coding RNA (NBEN_LNC012852)". Lineage: Eukaryota; Viridiplantae; Streptophyta; Magnoliopsida; Solanales; Solanaceae. The record is from RNAcentral.